GGUACCUUAGCUCAGCUGGUAGAGCAACGGACUGAAAAUCCGUGUGUCCCCAGUUCGAUUCUGGGAGGUACCA
This 73-nucleotide transfer RNA is filed under the name Saprospiraceae bacterium. RNAcentral's name for it is "tRNA-Phe". It matches the Rfam family "tRNA". From Rfam's summary of the family: Transfer RNA (tRNA) molecules are approximately 80 nucleotides in length. Their secondary structure includes four short double-helical elements and three loops (D, anti-codon, and T loops). Lineage: Bacteria; Pseudomonadati; Bacteroidota; Saprospiria; Saprospirales; Saprospiraceae. The record is from RNAcentral. RNAcentral also lists the same sequence under 1 other name.